RNAcentral lists this ribosomal RNA (293 nucleotides) under uncultured bacterium. RNAcentral's name for it is "partial 16S ribosomal RNA". It matches the Rfam family "Archaeal small subunit ribosomal RNA", at positions 455 to 747 of the family's 1478-position model. The record is from RNAcentral.
GUGCCAGCAGCCGCGGUAAUACCGGCAGCCCGAGUGAUGGCCGAUGUUAUUGGGCCUAAAGCGUCCGUAGCUGGCCAUGCAGGUCCACUGGGAAAUCCACCCGCUCAACGGGCGGCCGUCCGGCGGAACCUGUGUGGCUUGGGACCGGGGGGCCUGAGGGGUACGAUCGGGGUAGGAGUGAAAUCCUGUAAUCCCGCUCGGACCGCCGAUGGGGAAACCACCUCAGGAGAACGGAUCCGACAGUGAGGGACGAAAGCCAGGGUCUCGAACCGGAUUAGAAACCCCAGUAGUCC